Molecule: ribosomal RNA, 460 nt
Filed under: uncultured bacterium
Lineage: Bacteria
Description: partial 16S ribosomal RNA
Rfam family: Bacterial small subunit ribosomal RNA
Source: RNAcentral
CCUACGGGAGGCAGCAGUGAGGAAUAUUGGUCAAUGGACGAGAGUCUGAACCAGCCAAGUAGCGUGAAGGAUGACUGCCCUAUGGGUUGUAAACUUCUUUUAUAAAGGAAUAAAACGAGGCACGUGUGCCUUUUUGCAUGUACUUUAUGAAUAAGGAUCGGCUAACUCCGUGCCAGCAGCCGCGGUAAUACGGAGGAUCCGAGCGUUAUCCGGAUUUAUUGGGUUUAAAGGGAGCGUAGAGGGUGUGUUAAGUCAGUUGUGAAAGUUUGCGGCUCAACCGUAAAAUUGCAAUUGAUACUGGCAGUCGUGAGUACAGUUGAGGGAGGCGGAAUUCGUGGUGUAGCGGUGAAAUGCUUAGAUAUCACGAAGAACCCCGAUUGCGAAGGCAGCUUACUAAACUGUGACUGACAUUGAUGCUCGAAAGUGUGGGUAUCAAACAGGAUUAGAUACCCUUGUAGUC